CAGCUGGAACGGCUGCUAAUACCCGAUGUGCCGAGAGGUGAAACAUUUAUGGCCUGAGGAUGAGCUCGCGUCUGAUUAGCUAGUUGGUGGGGUAAGAGCCUACCAAGGCGACGAUCAGUAGCUGGUCUGAGAGGAUGAUCAGCCACACUGGGACUGAGACACGGCCCAGACUCCUACGGGAGGCAGCAGUGGGGAAUUUUCCGCAAUGGGCGCAAGCCUGACGGAGCAAGACCGCGUGCGGGAGGACGGCCUAUUGGUUGUAAACCGCUUUUGAUAGGGAAGAAGCUCUGACGGUACCUAUCGAAUCAGCAUCGGCUAACUCCGUGCCAGCAGCCGCGGUAAUACGGAGGAUGCAAGCGUUAUCCGGAAUUAUUGGGCGUAAAGCGUCCGUAGGUGGUUGUUCAAGUCUGCUGUUAAAGCGUGCGGCUUAACCGCAUACCAGCAGUGGAAACUGGACGACUAGAGUGCGGUAGGGGUCAGGGGAAUUCCCAGUGUAGCGGUGAAAUGCGUAGAUAUUGGGAAGAACACCGGUGGCGAAAGCGCCUGACUGGACCUGCACUGACACUGAGGGACGAAAGCUAGGGGAGCGAAAGGGAUUAGAUACCCC
This 607-nucleotide ribosomal RNA is filed under the name Thermoleptolyngbya oregonensis NK1-15. Its description in RNAcentral is "bacterial SSU rRNA". It matches the Rfam family "Bacterial small subunit ribosomal RNA", at positions 147 to 788 of the family's 1533-position model. The record is from RNAcentral. Lineage: Bacteria; Bacillati; Cyanobacteriota; Cyanophyceae; Oculatellales; Oculatellaceae.